GGGAUGGUAGCUCAGCUGGUUAGAGCGCUGCCCUGUCACGGCAGAGGUCGCGGGUCCGAGUCCCGUCCAUCCCG
Molecule: transfer RNA, 74 nt
Filed under: bacterium
Lineage: Bacteria
Description: tRNA-Asp
Rfam family: tRNA
About the family: Transfer RNA (tRNA) molecules are approximately 80 nucleotides in length.
Source: RNAcentral